ACAAAGGGCAGCAAGUUCGCGAGGACAAGCAAAUCCCAUAAACCGUGGCUCAGUUCAGAUCGUAGGCUGCAACUCGCCUACGUGAAGGCGGAAUCGCUAGUAAUCGCAGGUCAGCACACUGCGGUGAAUACGUUCCCGGGCCUUGUACACACCGCCCGUCACACCAUGGAAGUUGGCCACGCCCGAAGCCGUUACUCCAACCCUUGUGGAGGAGGACGUCGAAGGUGGGGCUGAUGACUGGGGUGAAGUCGUAACAAGGUAUCCGUACCGGAAGGUGCGGAUGGAUCACCUCCUAAC
RNAcentral lists this ribosomal RNA (297 nucleotides) under uncultured Synechococcus sp. Its description in RNAcentral is "partial 16S ribosomal RNA". It matches the Rfam family "Bacterial small subunit ribosomal RNA", at positions 1239 to 1533 of the family's 1533-position model. The record is from RNAcentral. Lineage: Bacteria; Bacillati; Cyanobacteriota; Cyanophyceae; Synechococcales; Synechococcaceae.